Molecule: ribosomal RNA, 253 nt
Filed under: uncultured bacterium
Lineage: Bacteria
Description: partial 16S ribosomal RNA
Rfam family: Bacterial small subunit ribosomal RNA
Source: RNAcentral
UACAGAGGUCUCAAGCGUUGUUCGGAUUCAUUGGGCGUAAAGGGUGCGUAGAUGGCAUGGUAAGUCGGAUGUGAAAUCCCAGGGCUCAACCCCGGAACUGCAUUCGAUACUGCUGCGCUAGAGUACUGGAGAGGAGAUUGGAAUUUACGGUGUAGCAGUGAAAUGCGUAGAUAUCGUAAGGAAGACCAGUGGCGAAGGCGGAUCUCUGGACAGUUACUGACACUGAGGCGCGACAGCGUGGGGAGCAAACAGG